AGUUGGAGGGAAGAAAGGAUUUAGGGCCUAGCAGGUGGGUUUGGAGGAGAGAAUGGGAGAGGCUGAAGGUAGAGAAGUGAUAGAAUUUGGCUCACCUGGAAGGGCAACGGGCUAGAAGGGCUUCUGAAACGCUUGCUGAUUGCAAGUUCAGGGUAGCAGGCAACCUCUGUGAAUGUCAGGACAAAGUGGAAAAGACAUUCUGAGACUCACUCAAGAAGAGUUUCAUUUCUUCUGUGGUGGUGCUGCCACAUGUGGUAACUGCCUUGUGGAGGGGGGAUGAAAACAAGCCAGGAUUGAGUGUUGAUAGGGUUUUACCAGCUGCAUGGAUGGAAAGAUUGAAUCCACCGGCAGUUUUCCUGCCUUUGAACUGUCAGAGAAUGCUUUUGGGAGGUGCUGUGGCGGUAGGCUGGAAGGACACCUAUCCCACCAUAGAGGAAGGAGUGGAGGCCUCUGGGAGGUGGUGAUGAGGGAGCUCCAUCUUGAAGGAAUAGAAGAAUCUAAACAGUUGUAUAUCUUAGUUGCCGGUCCUUCUAGUUGUGGGAUGUGGGACGCUGCCUCAACGUGGCCUGACGAGCGGUGCCAUGUCCGCGCCCAGGAUCCGAACCCUGGGCCGCCGCAGCGGAGAGCGCGAAAUUAACCACUCGGCCACGGAGCCGGCCCCCUUACAUUUUAAUAUUUAUAAAUAUUUUUAACUAUCUAAGAAUUCACAAUGUAUGAUGUUAUUUAUUUUAUAAUUGCUUGACUAUGUUAAAAGUAUUGAAACAGCCUUUCAAAGUAUUAAAGAACGGUUGAGGUGAAAAGUGGAAAAUACUCAUAAAUCUGCCAACUAUUUUACAUUGUUUCAGUCAAAAUGUAUUCUUUUUACAACUUUGACAUAUAUUAUGUAUUUUUUGAUUAUGCAUCCUUUUUAAAAUGAUCAUAUUAAUCAUUAAAAUAUUCUGUUAAGUUUGCUUAACCUGAGGUAUUUAAUUAUUCUUUGUAGAAUAUCUUUUAUUCAUUCGUUAAAUCAUUUAUGUAAAAAUAUUGGUUGUCUAUUAGGUGCCGUGCUUAUCAGGCAGCAGCUCUGUAAGUAAGGUAAACAUAGUUCUUGCCUGCUUUGAGUUUAAAAAUAAUUGUAAUACACAGUGAAAAGUGUCAUGACAGGGAAGUGCAGUGUUUUGUGGUUUUCACAGAAGAGGGACAGAGUCUAAAUGGUGUGGGCAUGGGAGAAGAGAGUGUUAUAAAACAU
Molecule: long non-coding RNA, 1228 nt
Filed under: Equus caballus (horse)
Lineage: Eukaryota; Metazoa; Chordata; Mammalia; Perissodactyla; Equidae
Description: lncRNA (ENSECAG00000031029.3)
Source: RNAcentral